Molecule: long non-coding RNA, 1045 nt
Organism: Ictidomys tridecemlineatus (thirteen-lined ground squirrel)
Lineage: Eukaryota; Metazoa; Chordata; Mammalia; Rodentia; Sciuridae
Source: RefSeq, a predicted model, not a curated record
GCUUUAAUUUUCACUGGGGAAGAAACUGUCAAGGCCACUUUGCAGGGCACAGGAGAAAGCAGAGUUCCUGAGUGCAGAACUCUCUGUUCAAGGACUUUAAAGUUUAGAGAAACUUCCGGAGCCAAGCAUAAAAUAGGUACCGUGUUCAACCUUUUCUAAUACAGGAAGAGAUAUUUUUUAACACUACAACUGCAAGAUGCCACAGCACUUUAAUACUCACAGUGUGGAGAGAGCUCUCCUCCUCUGUUUUAAUUUGAAGAAGUGAAUCCUGGCAAGUGCCCAGAUUUGCUGUCACCAGAGAGCCAUGCCAACCUUUUGUCUUACUCAUCCCAUUAAGGGAAGAGACAACUCGUCCUGUGCCAACAACCCUCCCUGGGUUUCUCGUCCCUUCAGCUUAUGCAUCUUCCAAAAUACCAAUAUCUGUAAAACAAAAACUAAGCAAUCUCUCCUAAGUGUCAUCUCAUGUGCUUCUGAUUGAACCUUCUGUAAGAACAUUCUUUGACCGGGAGUCUCACACUAUCUUCACUUAUACAGGGAGCAGAAAUUUCAAGAAAAAGGAAAAACUGUCAAUAAAAACGUGCAUAAAGAUGUUCAUUAAUAUUAUUCAGAAUACCCUGAAAAUAAAAACAACUCCAAAAUAUGCCUCUGAAGAGAAAAUAAAUGGUGGAAUACAACUCCUCAAUAAAGAAAAACCUUCUAAUAUUUAGGACGGUACAGCUGAAUCACAAGAAAGAGAAACUGAAGAACAAGAGACUCUUUAUUCUACUUAGAUAAAGUCCCAGAGCAGGAAUGAGGAGCUCAAAAAGACUCUCAUGGAAUGAUUUUCGGAGCAACUUCCUGGGGUGAGCUAUGUUCCACAAGUUACAUGGCUGUUUCUGGCAACUACUGCCAAACUCUUCUAUAUGAAAAAUCAGUAAAUGGGUAUUUUAUUUUAAGCAACUAUACUUAUGUGCUGCCUAUGUGUUUCUGUUGCACUGCCAUAAUUUCUGCCAAUAUGUAUCAUUCAUUUGUGAAAUAAAUUGUACCACAGUCUUCCUCUUUUAUA